RNAcentral lists this ribosomal RNA (497 nucleotides) under uncultured bacterium. RNAcentral's name for it is "partial 16S ribosomal RNA". It matches the Rfam family "Bacterial small subunit ribosomal RNA", at positions 28 to 507 of the family's 1533-position model. The record is from RNAcentral.
GACGAACGCUGGCGGCGUGCCUAAUACAUGCAAGUUGAGCGCUGAAGGUUGGUACUUGUACCGACUGGAUGAGCAGCGAACGGGUGAGUAACGCGUGGGGAAUCUGCCUUUGAGCGGGGGACAACAUUUGGAAACGAAUGCUAAUACCGCAUAAAAACUUUAAACACAAGUUUUAAGUUUGAAAGAUGCAAUUGCAUCACUCAAAGAUGAUCCCGCGUUGUAUUAGCUAGUUGGUGAGGUAAAGGCUCACCAAGGCGAUGAUACAUAGCCGACCUGAGAGGGUGAUGGGCCACAUUGGGACUGAGACACGGCCCAAACUCCUACGGGAGGCAGCAGUAGGGAAUCUUCGGCAAUGGACGAAAGUCUGACCGAGCAACGCCGCGUGAGUGAGGAAGGGUUUCGGAUCGUAAAACUCUGUUGGUAGAGAAGAACGUUGGUGAGAGUGGAAAGCUCAUCAAGUGACGGUAACUACCCAGAAAGGGACGGCUAACUACGUG